GCACCACCUCCACUGCAAAAACUUGUAAACAUAGUGACAGAAACUCUGACUGACUAUCUUCCAUAUCUAAUACAGAAAAAAGUUUGCCCUCUGCUUAUUGAGAUCCUUGGUAGUGUGGAUGCUACCUUUUUAUCUGAUAUAGCUGAAAUGCUAUUCCAUGGACUUGCACUGAAUCUCAAAUUGUAAACUUUCUCAAAAGAGACCAACCCAUUCUUAAAAUAGG
Molecule: long non-coding RNA, 223 nt
Organism: Antechinus flavipes (yellow-footed antechinus)
Lineage: Eukaryota; Metazoa; Chordata; Mammalia; Dasyuromorphia; Dasyuridae
Exons: 3
Source: RefSeq, a predicted model, not a curated record